This 678-nucleotide long non-coding RNA is filed under the name Camelus dromedarius (Arabian camel). Its description in RNAcentral is "lncRNA (ENSCDRG00005006856.1)". Lineage: Eukaryota; Metazoa; Chordata; Mammalia; Artiodactyla; Camelidae. The record is from RNAcentral.
UUUUUCCCUCACAUGGUGAAAACCCUAGGGGGUGCUUUCUCAUCGAGCUGCGUACUUUAAACCACUAUCCAAUCCAGAAGUUCAGUCAGUCAUAUAAACAGGAAACAGCACGCAGGCGGGCUGUAGCACAGAAGAGUGUUUCAACUCAGAGGGACUCAUUGGGGCGUCCAGGGGAGUGAAGUCUGACGGGUCGCAGCCAGAGGAGAGUCUCGCCGCGGGCAGGACGGUCCAGUCGUGUCCAUCAAGGCUGGGCGGCGUUCCCGGCCGAGAUCCAGCAGGAAGAGCUGGCGGCUGCCCGGGCGUGAGUAGACCGAGAACCCUACCUGCUCCCUCUUAUGACCUGCGCCCCCGUGCUGGCGUCGCCCUCGGCGCCGGGGGCGUCGGGGCACUGUCCGCUGAUCCCGGCAGAAAAGGAUUGACUCUCCUGCUUUCAGCCCUUCUUUGAGUCUCCUUGGCACUCGCCCACCGCAUUCCAAGUCGCCAGGCGUGUCUGUCCCUUUUUACUUCAGGAAUGGAUUCCGUUUGGUUGUUUCUUCCUUGCAGGGCCCCAAAGGCUCAUUAAACUCGUGUUUAUGGACUGAAAUGCCUCCUUUCCUUUAAUUCAGGAUAAUUCAGUAUAAACAUAUAUGGGGCUCUUCAGGGCCAGGCAGAGUUCUGGGAAAGUAGAAAUGGAUCUGA